This 434-nucleotide ribosomal RNA is filed under the name uncultured Ruminococcus sp. RNAcentral describes it as "partial 16S ribosomal RNA". It matches the Rfam family "Bacterial small subunit ribosomal RNA", at positions 341 to 792 of the family's 1533-position model. The record is from RNAcentral. Lineage: Bacteria; Bacillati; Bacillota; Clostridia; Eubacteriales; Oscillospiraceae.
ACGGGAGGCAGCAGUGGGGAAUAUUGCACAAUGGGGGAAACCCUGAUGCAGCGACGCCGCGUGAGGGAAGAAGGUUUUCGGAUUGUAAACCUCUGUCAACAGGGACGAAAAUGACGGUACCUGUGAAGGAAGCUCCGGCUAACUACGUGCCAGCAGCCGCGGUAAUACGUAGGGAGCAAGCGUUAUCCGGAAUUACUGGGUGUAAAGGGAGUGUAGGCGGGACUGUAAGUCAGAUGUGAAAUAUACCGGCUCAACUGGUAGACUGCAUUUGAAACUGCGGUUCUUGAGUGAAGUAGAGGUAAGCGGAAUUCCUAGUGUAGCGGUGAAAUGCGUAGAUAUUAGGAGGAACAUCAGUGGCGAAGGCGAUUAACUGGACCACCACUGACGCUGAGACACGAAGGCGUGGGGAGCAAACAGGAUUAGAUACCCUGGUA